GAGGGUAUAGCUCAGUGGUAGAGCGCAAGCUUACCACGCACGAGGUCCUGGGUUCAAUCUCCAGCACCUCCA
RNAcentral lists this transfer RNA (72 nucleotides) under Camelus bactrianus (Bactrian camel). It matches the Rfam family "tRNA". From Rfam's summary of the family: Transfer RNA (tRNA) molecules are approximately 80 nucleotides in length. Their secondary structure includes four short double-helical elements and three loops (D, anti-codon, and T loops). The record is from Rfam by way of RNAcentral. RNAcentral also lists the same sequence under 2 other names. Lineage: Eukaryota; Metazoa; Chordata; Mammalia; Artiodactyla; Camelidae.